AGUGAACGCUGGCGGUAGGCCUAACACAUGCAAGUCGAACGGCAGCACAGUAAGGGCUUGCUCUUACGGGUGGCGAGUGGCGGACGGGUGAGGAAUACAUCGGAAUCUACUUUUUCGUGGGGGAUAACGUAGGGAAACUUACGCUAAUACCGCAUACGACCUACGGGUGAAAGCAGGGGAUCUUCGGACCUUGCGCGAUUGAAUGAGCCGAUGUCGGAUUAGCUAGUUGGCGGGGUAAAGGCCCACCAAGGCGACGAUCCGUAGCUGGUCUGAGAGGAUGAUCAGCCACACUGGAACUGAGACACGGUCCAGACUCCUACGGGAGGCAGCAGUGGGGAAUAUUGGACAAUGGGCGCAAGCCUGAUCCAGCCAUACCGCGUGGGUGAAGAAGGCCUUCGGGUUGUAAAGCCCUUUUGUUGGCAAAGAAAAGCAGCAGGUUAAUACCCCGCUGUUCUGACGGUACCCAAAGAAUAAGCACCGGCUAACUUCGUG
This 492-nucleotide ribosomal RNA is filed under the name uncultured bacterium. RNAcentral describes it as "partial 16S ribosomal RNA". It matches the Rfam family "Bacterial small subunit ribosomal RNA", at positions 29 to 507 of the family's 1533-position model. The record is from RNAcentral.